GAGUUUGAUUCUGGCUCAGGAUGAACGCUAGCGAUAGGCUUAACACAUGCAAGUCGAGGGGCAGCAUGAUCUUAGCUUGCUAAGGUUGAUGGCGACCGGCGCACGGGUGCGUAACGCGUAUGCAACUUGCCUUACAGAGGGGGAUAACCCGUUGAAAGACGGACUAAUACCGCAUACACUUGUUUGGUUGCAUGAUCGGGCAAGGAAAUAUUUAUAGCUGUAAGAUAGGCAUGCGUCCCAUUAGCUGGUUGGUGAGGUAACGGCUCACCAAGGCAACGAUGGGUAGGGGAACUGAGAGGUUUAUCCCCCACACUGGUACUGAGACACGGACCAGACUCCUACGGGAGGCAGCAGUGAGGAAUAUUGGUCAAUGGGNGAGAGCCUGAACCAGCCAAGUCGCGUGAAGGAUGA
RNAcentral lists this ribosomal RNA (411 nucleotides) under Porphyromonas gulae. RNAcentral's name for it is "bacterial SSU rRNA". It matches the Rfam family "Bacterial small subunit ribosomal RNA", at positions 9 to 411 of the family's 1533-position model. The record is from RNAcentral. Lineage: Bacteria; Pseudomonadati; Bacteroidota; Bacteroidia; Bacteroidales; Porphyromonadaceae.